This 903-nucleotide ribosomal RNA is filed under the name Bacillus altitudinis. RNAcentral describes it as "bacterial SSU rRNA". It matches the Rfam family "Bacterial small subunit ribosomal RNA", at positions 56 to 943 of the family's 1533-position model. The record is from RNAcentral. Lineage: Bacteria; Bacillati; Bacillota; Bacilli; Caryophanales; Bacillaceae.
UGCAGUCGAGCGGACAGAAGGGAGCUUGCUCCCGGAUGUUAGCGGCGGACGGGUGAGUAACACGUGGGUAACCUGCCUGUAAGACUGGGAUAACUCCGGGAAACCGGAGCUAAUACCGGAUAGUUCCUUGAACCGCAUGGUUCAAGGAUGAAAGACGGUUUCGGCUGUCACUUACAGAUGGACCCGCGGCGCAUUAGCUAGUUGGUGAGGUAACGGCUCACCAAGGCGACGAUGCGUAGCCGACCUGAGAGGGUGAUCGGCCACACUGGGACUGAGACACGGCCCAGACUCCUACGGGAGGCAGCAGUAGGGAAUCUUCCGCAAUGGACGAAAGUCUGACGGAGCAACGCCGCGUGAGUGAUGAAGGUUUUCGGAUCGUAAAGCUCUGUUGUUAGGGAAGAACAAGUGCAAGAGUAACUGCUUGCACCUUGACGGUACCUAACCAGAAAGCCACGGCUAACUACGUGCCAGCAGCCGCGGUAAUACGUAGGUGGCAAGCGUUGUCCGGAAUUAUUGGGCGUAAAGGGCUCGCAGGCGGUUUCUUAAGUCUGAUGUGAAAGCCCCCGGCUCAACCGGGGAGGGUCAUUGGAAACUGGGAAACUUGAGUGCAGAAGAGGAGAGUGGAAUUCCACGUGUAGCGGUGAAAUGCGUAGAGAUGUGGAGGAACACCAGUGGCGAAGGCGACUCUCUGGUCUGUAACUGACGCUGAGGAGCGAAAGCGUGGGGAGCGAACAGGAUUAGAUACCCUGGUAGUCCACGCCGUAAACGAUGAGUGCUAAGUGUUAGGGGGUUUCCGCCCCUUAGUGCUGCAGCUAACGCAUUAAGCACUCCGCCUGGGGAGUACGGUCGCAAGACUGAAACUCAAAGGAAUUGACGGGGGCCCGCACAGCGGUGGAGCAUGUG